CCUACGGGAGGCAGCAGUGGGGAAUAUUGCACAAUGGGCGAAAGCCUGAUGCAGCGACGCCGCGUGAGGGAUGACGGCCUUCGGGUUGUAAACCUCUUUCAGCUCCGACGAAGCGAAAGUGACGGUAGGAGCAGAAGAAGCACCGGCCAACUACGUGCCAGCAGCCGCGGUAAUACGUAGGGUGCAAGCGUUGUCCGGAAUUAUUGGGCGUAAAGAGCUCGUAGGCGGCUUGUCGCGUCGGCUGUGAAAACCUGGGGCUCAACUCCGGGCCUGCAGCCGAUACGGGCAAGCUAGAAUUCGGUAGGGGAGACUGGAAUUCCUGGUGUAGCGGUGAAAUGCGCAGAUAUCAGGAGGAACACCGGUGGCGAAGGCGGGUCUCUGGGCCGAUAUUGACGCUGAGGAGCGAAAGCGUGGGGAGCGAACAGGAUUAGAUACCCUGGUAGUCCACGCCGUAAACGUUGGGCGCUAGGUGUGAGCCACAUUCCACGUGGUCUGUGCCGCAGCUAACGCAUUAAGCGCCCCGCCUGGGGAGUACGGCCGCAAGGCUAAAACUCAAAGGAAUUGACGG
This 568-nucleotide ribosomal RNA is filed under the name uncultured bacterium. RNAcentral's name for it is "bacterial SSU rRNA". It matches the Rfam family "Bacterial small subunit ribosomal RNA", at positions 338 to 916 of the family's 1533-position model. The record is from RNAcentral.